RNAcentral lists this transfer RNA (74 nucleotides) under bacterium TMED190. RNAcentral describes it as "tRNA-Arg". It matches the Rfam family "tRNA". From Rfam's summary of the family: Transfer RNA (tRNA) molecules are approximately 80 nucleotides in length. RNAcentral also lists the same sequence under 1 other name. The record is from RNAcentral.
GCACCCGUAGCUCAAUUGGAUAGAGUGCUUGGCUACGGACCAAGAGGUUGGGGGUUCGACUCCUCCCGGGUGUA